GUACCUGGAUACCUAUGGAGAGACAAUUGCCCUUCCUGAGUGCCUUGUUCCUGUAUUCAUCACGGUGGUCUUCAACAAUCAGACCUCUGCUCAAGACUGAGGGUGCAGAGCAAUCAUCACCUCCUCGCCCGCGCACCUGUUCUCAAUCAGCACUCAUCAUUGCUUGCAUUUAAGCGUGCCAGAUGCAGGGAUCCAGCGCCAGAGUAUUCACGCUCAUACGUGUGUCCUCCCGUGUCUCCCGCUCUGCUGCCCGUCCCGACCACGCCGUCAGGCUCUCCCACCUGCUCACGCUCCCGCCUCCUGCAACUCCCACCUCAUUAAAAUACCCCUCCCGUACAAAGAACCUCAUGUUCCUCCUCCCGAACCUUACUCUGGGGACCUAUGGAGCCGGGGCCGUUCUCUACAAGCGGGACCCCGAAUCCCGAAAAUUACAUCCCUGUGCCUUUUUUUCCAGUUGCCUUUCCCCGUCUGAAUGGAAUUACGACGUAGUGAAUCGUGAGCUGCUGGCCAUCGUCUGGGCCCUGCAGGAUUGGUGGCACUGGCUGGAGGGGACCGUAUCUCCUUUUGUCGUAUGGACUGACCAGAAGCAAAAUCAUACAUUGUAAAAAUGCAUUAUGCAUAGGUAGAAGGGUUUUCCAGACUUUUGAGGUCAACUUUGGGGGUGCGUAUUAUACAUGGGUGCACAUUAUAUACGAGAAAUGACGGUACAUGAAAAUGACUCAUA
Long non-coding RNA from Phyllopteryx taeniolatus (common seadragon), 724 nucleotides. RefSeq lists it as uncharacterized. The record is from RefSeq and is a predicted model, not a curated record. Lineage: Eukaryota; Metazoa; Chordata; Actinopteri; Syngnathiformes; Syngnathidae. The transcript is spliced from 3 exons.